RNAcentral lists this ribosomal RNA (591 nucleotides) under Triticum aestivum (bread wheat). Its description in RNAcentral is "partial small subunit ribosomal RNA". Lineage: Eukaryota; Viridiplantae; Streptophyta; Magnoliopsida; Poales; Poaceae. The record is from RNAcentral.
AUGGGAUUCCAAGAUAUACAUUGUUUCAAUUUGGCGUUACUAGCCAAGCAAGCGUGGCGUUUGCUUGAUAAUCCGGAAUCGUUAUGUGCCACAACCCUGAGAGCUAAAUAUUUCCCGGAUGGCGAUUUAAUGAAUGCAAGUCUAAAGAAGGGUUCCUCUUUCACCUGGCAAAGCAUUAUGGCGGGGGUUAAUUCUCUAAGGAAUGGCUAUAUCUGGCGAGUUGGAAACGGACAAAAAAUUGAUAUUUGGGAAGAUGCAUGGAUCCCGAAUUGUGCAAAUAGAAAAAUAAUUACCCCUAGAAGGGGGAAACUUUUGUCAAAGGCUUCUGAUCUUAUUGACCCAAGUACGAGUUAUUGGGAUGAAGACUUGGUGAGACAAACGUUGUGGCCAAUUGACGCUCAAAGGGUACUUGCAAUCCCCCUUCUGAUACAUGAAAUGACGGAUUUCAUUGCUUGGAGUUUCACAAAAAAUGGGUUGUUCACUGUUCGAUCGGCUUAUUGGGAGGAAUGGAACAAACAGCAUGGAAGAAACUUACAAUAUACGAAUGGUAUGGGUAGAUCCAAUGCUAAUCUUGUUUGGAGCAAGAUCUAG